UCCGGUGGUCAUAGCGGAGGGGUCACACCCGGAUCCAUGCCGAACCCGGCAGUUAAGCCCUUCAGCGCCGAUGGUACUGCGGAGGCUAUUCGUGGGAGAGUAGGACGCUGCCGGAA
RNAcentral lists this ribosomal RNA (116 nucleotides) under Aminivibrio sp. Lineage: Bacteria; Thermotogati; Synergistota; Synergistia; Synergistales; Aminobacteriaceae. The record is from RNAcentral.